CUUUACGUGGCAAGGACGUUGAUGGAGGUUUACCUGUCAGCACCUUGGUGCUUCACAAAGGUGAUGAAACCGGUGGUGGCGUUCCUCAGGUCUCGGGGAGUACGCAUGAUUAUUUACCUGGACAACAUACUGAUUAUGUCCGUGCCCCCCGACCAACAUCUACAGCAUCUGAGCUGGACGGUGGAUCUUCUGGAAAACUUUCUCUUAAAUUAGGAAAAUCCAUGGUGACCCCGACGCAGAAAAUAGAAUUUCUGGGUUUCGAAGUCGAUUCGGUCGCCCAGUUCUUGUUCCUUCCAGAGGCCAAGCUAAAGGCUAUGAAGAAGGAAAUAAGACGUACACUACGGACCACCUCUCUC
Non-coding RNA from Pelobates cultripes (western spadefoot toad), 356 nucleotides. NCBI's taxonomy places the organism in Eukaryota, Metazoa, Chordata, Amphibia, Anura, Pelobatidae. The record is from the annotation of a GenBank genome assembly.